Molecule: ribosomal RNA, 396 nt
Filed under: uncultured bacterium
Lineage: Bacteria
Description: bacterial SSU rRNA
Rfam family: Bacterial small subunit ribosomal RNA
Source: RNAcentral
UAGGGAAUAUUGCAAAAUGGGCGAAAGCCCGAUGCAGCAACGCCGCGUGGGCGAUGAAGGCCUUCGGGUCGUAAAGCCCUUUUUGAGGGGAUGAGGAAGGACAGUACCCUCAGAAUAAGCCUCGGCUAACUACGUGCCAGCAGCCGCGGUAAAACGUAGGAGGCGAGCGUUAUCCGGAUUUACUGGGCGUAAAGCGCGUGCAGGCGGAUUGGAGAGUUGGAUGUGAAAGCUCCCGGCUUAACUGGGAGAGGUCGUUCAAUACUUCCAGUCUUGAGUGCAGUAGAGGGAAGUGGAAUUCCGGGUGUAGUGGUGAAAUGCGUAGAUAUCCGGAGGAACACCGGUGGCGAAAGCGGCUUCCUGGACUGUAACUGACGCUCAGACGCGAAAGCUAGGGUA